Molecule: ribosomal RNA, 118 nt
Organism: Eutrema salsugineum
Lineage: Eukaryota; Viridiplantae; Streptophyta; Magnoliopsida; Brassicales; Brassicaceae
Source: Rfam
GGGUGCAAUCAUACCAGCACUAAUGCACCGGUUCCCAUCAAACUCCGCAGUUAAGCGUGCUUGGGCGAGAGUAAUACUAGGAUGGGUGACCUCCCGGAAGGUCUUCGUGUUGCACUCC